CAGUCGAACGCUGAAGCCGACAGCUUGCUGUUGGUGGAUGAGUGGCGAACGGGUGAGUAACACGUGAGUAACCUGCCCCUGAUUUCGGGAUAAGCCUGGGAAACUGGGUCUAAUACCGGAUAUGACCUCCUGACGCAUGUUGGUUGGUGGAAAGUUUUUCGAUCGGGGAUGGGCUCGCGGCCUAUCAGCUUGUUGGUGGGGUAAUGGCCUACCAAGGCGACGACGGGUAGCCGGCCUGAGAGGGCGACCGGCCACACUGGGACUGAGACACGGCCCAGACUCCUACGGGAGGCAGCAGUGGGGAAUAUUGCACAAUGGGGGAAACCCUGAUGCAGCGACGCAGCGUGCGGGAUGACGGCCUUCGGGUUGUAAACCGCUUUCAGCAGGGAAGAAGCGAAAGUGACGGUACCUGCAGAAGAAGUACCGGCUAACUACGUGCCAGCAGCCGCGGUAAUACGUAGGGUACGAGCGUUGUCCGGAAUUAUUGGGCGUAAAGAGCUCGUAGGUGGUUGGUCACGUCUGCUGUGGAAACGCAACGCUUAACGUUGCGCGUGCAGUGGGUACGGGCUGACUAGAGUGCAGUAGGGGAGUCUGGAAUUCCUGGUGUACGUG
This 612-nucleotide ribosomal RNA is filed under the name Brevibacterium epidermidis. RNAcentral's name for it is "bacterial SSU rRNA". It matches the Rfam family "Bacterial small subunit ribosomal RNA", at positions 59 to 681 of the family's 1533-position model. Lineage: Bacteria; Bacillati; Actinomycetota; Actinomycetes; Micrococcales; Brevibacteriaceae. The record is from RNAcentral.